UACGUAGGGUGCGAGCGUUGUCCGGAAUUAUUGGGCGUAAAGAGCUCGUAGGCGGUUUGUCGCGUCGGCCGUGAAAACUUGGGGCUUAACCCCAAGCCUGCGGUCGAUAUGGGCAGACUUGAGUUCGGCAGGGGAGACUGGAAUUCCUGGUGUAGCGGUGAAAUGCGCAGAUAUCAGGAGGAACACCGGUGGCGAAGGCGGGUCUCUGGGCCGAUACUGACGCUGAGGAGCGAAAGCGUGGGGAGCGAACAGG
This 253-nucleotide ribosomal RNA is filed under the name uncultured bacterium. Its description in RNAcentral is "partial 16S ribosomal RNA". It matches the Rfam family "Bacterial small subunit ribosomal RNA", at positions 524 to 776 of the family's 1533-position model. The record is from RNAcentral.